AGGCGAAGGCGCGAGCCGGAGNGAACCCCAGAAACAACGUCCCAGUUCGGACUGCAGUCUGCAACCCGACUGCACGAAGCUGGAAUCGCUAGUAAUCGCGGAUCAGCAUGCCGCGGUGAAUACGUUCCCGGGUCUUGUACACACCGCCCGUCACACCAUGGGAGCCGGAAAUGCCCGAAGCCUGUGACCCAACCCGCAAGGGGGGGAGCAGUCGAAGGCGGGGCUGGUGACUGGGGUGAAGUCGUAACAAGGUAGC
This 256-nucleotide ribosomal RNA is filed under the name uncultured bacterium. RNAcentral's name for it is "partial 16S ribosomal RNA". It matches the Rfam family "Bacterial small subunit ribosomal RNA", at positions 1247 to 1500 of the family's 1533-position model. The record is from RNAcentral.